RNAcentral lists this ribosomal RNA (511 nucleotides) under uncultured bacterium. RNAcentral describes it as "partial 16S ribosomal RNA". It matches the Rfam family "Bacterial small subunit ribosomal RNA", at positions 28 to 523 of the family's 1533-position model. The record is from RNAcentral.
GACGAACGCUGGCGGCGUGCCUAAUACAUGUAAGUAGAACGCUGAAGGAGGAGCUUACUUCUCUGGAUGAGUUGCGAACGGGUGAGUAACGCGUAGGUAACCUGCCUGGUAGCGGGGGAUAACUAUUGGAAACGAUAGCUAAUACCGCAUAAGAGUAGAUGUUGCAUGACAUUUACUUAAAAGGUGCAAUUGCACCACUACCAGAUGGACCUGCGUUGUAUUAGCUAGUUGGUGGGGUAACGGCUUACCAAGGCGACGAUACAUAGCCGACCUGAGAGGGUGAUCGGCCACACUGGGACUGAGACACGGCCCAGACUCCUACGGGAGGCAGCAGUAGGGAAUCUUCGGCAAUGGACGGAAGUCUGACCGAGCAACGCCGCGUGAGUGAAGAAGGUUUUCGGACCGUAAAGCUCUGUUGUAAGAGAAGAACGAGUGUGAGAGUGGAAAGUUCACACUGUGACGGUAUCUUACCAGAAAGAGACGGCUAACUACGUGCCAGCCGCCGCCGUAA